RNAcentral lists this small RNA (56 nucleotides) under Arabidopsis thaliana (thale cress). RNAcentral describes it as "ATSL055840". The record is from RNAcentral. Lineage: Eukaryota; Viridiplantae; Streptophyta; Magnoliopsida; Brassicales; Brassicaceae.
UGUUGUAAGCAGCACGACGUCCACGAGUUUUAAGAAUCCUCAAUCCGAUAUAGAAC